GCAGCUACCAAUUACAACCCGCUCAUCCCUUCACCAUUCAGACCUCAGGGGUUCAGGAGUCAAAUUAGAGAUCGACAUUAUCCGAAAGAGCCACAGUUGUGUGCAUUCAUUGUUUCAAUUACUAUAGUGCUGUAUAAUCAUAUUUAAACAGUAUGAUGGAAAAUAUGUAGUUUAUAUGUAUGUAUAUACAUAUAAUGUCAGCGAACCAGCUGAGCGGCGAACAGCAGAGGCUAACAGCAGGAGUUUGCCUGGGAGCUGUCCAAGAGGAGGUACGCUAAGUGCUGCAUUAGGGGGGCUGUGUUGGUGAGUAUCUGAGUGCCUGCUGCUGGGACAGUUGGUCAGUUUGACCGUGUGCUUGAUUGCUUGCUUGCUUGUUUGUUUGAAAAGUGUGAAUUGGGAGUGCUUUGUUCCAGGUGGGCCUUGAGUGGGCCUGACUGGUAUAUAAGGGCAGUCAGCAGCGAACCAGCUGAGCGGCGAACAGCAGGAGUUUGCCUGGGAGCUGUCCAAGAGGAGGUACGCUAAGUGCUGCAUUAGGGGGGCUGUGUUGGUGAGUAUCUGAGUGCCUGCUGCUGGGACAGUUGGUCAGUUUGACCGUGUGCUUGAUUGCUUGCUUGUUUGUUUGAAAAGUGAAUUGGGAGUGCUUUGUUCCAGCUGGGCCUUGAGUGGGCCUGACUGGUAUAUAAGGGCAGUCAGCAGCGAACCAGCUGAGCGGUGAACAGCAGAGGCUAACAGCAGGAGUUUGCCUGGGAGUUCACGUGGGGAGAGCACACUGAGGCUUUCAUCUGCAGGUUUCUCCGAGUAGUUCCUGCAACAGUUGAGGAAGCUCCUAAGAGGACGGUGAUAUGGAAGGUGAGCGAUCAGCUGUUGUAACCUGCACAGGUUAUGUCAUGUUUGUCUUUCUUCCGCAGGACAGAAGUGACUUUGUCUGUACAAAGUGCAAGCUGGUCUCCAUAUUGGAGGAGAAGGUUCGAGGGCUGGAGAAACAAGUAUCGACUCUGCGUUGCAUAAGGGAAAAUGAAGAUUUCCUGGACAGACGUCAGGAGAUGCUUCUACGGCCACAAUGUUCUGAAGAUUCAGAGCAGGCGCAGCAGGGACAGAAGGAUUGUGAGGAGGUUUGGCAGCAUGUGACCUCCAGAAGAAGAAAGAGGAGCGUCCAUGCACCAGCAAUGGAGAUACAGGUGAGCAAUCGUUUCCAUGUUCUCUCUACAGGUGCUAAUGCGGAGAGUGGACUAGAUGGCCCAUCUGAGGGAAGGGAGCAGAAGGAGACUCCACCGAUUGGAAGGCAAAAGAUGCACUGUCCUAGGGAUGGGGGUUCCACGACCACCACUCCCAAGAGGAGGAGGAGGGUGGUGGUGGUCGGGGACUCCCUCCUCAGGGGGACUGAGUCAUCUAUCUGCCGCCCUGACCGGGAAAACCGAGAGGUCUGCUGCUUGCCAGGAGCUAGGAUACACGAUGUGACGGAGAGACUGCCGAGACUCAUCAAGCCCUCGGAUCGCUACCCCUUCCUGCUUCUCCACGUGGGCACCAAUGAUACUGCCAAGAAUGACCUUGAGCGGAUCACUGCAGACUACGUGGCUCUGGGAAGAAGGAUAAAGGAGUUUGAGGCGCAAGUGGUGUUCUCGUCCAUCCUCCCUGUGCAAGGGAAAGGCCGGGGUAGAGACCGUCGAAUUGUGGAAGUCAACGAAUGGCUACGCAGGUGGUGUCGGAGAGAAGGCUUUGGAUUCUUCGACCAUGGGAUGGUGUUCCAAGAAGGAGUGCUAGGCAGAGACGGGCUCCACCUAACGAAGAGAGGGAAGAGCAUCUUCGCCAGCAGGCUGGCUAACCUAGUGAGGAGGGCUUUAAACUAGGUUCACCGGGGGAAGGAGACCAAAGCCCUGAGAAUACAAAGUGUACAGCUGAGCGGCGAACAGCAGAGGCUAACAGCGGGAGUUUGCCUGGGAGCUGUCCGAGAGGAGGUACGCUAAGUGCUGCAUUAGGGGGGCUGUGUUGGUGAGUAUCUGAGUGUCUGCUGCUGGGACAGUUGGUCAGUUUGACCGUGUGCUUGAUUGCUUGCUUGUUUGUUUGAAAAGUGUGAAUUGGGAGUGCUUUGUUCCAGCUGGGCCUUGAGUGGGCCUGACUGGUAUAUAAGGGCAGUCAGCAGCGAACCAGCUGAGCGGCGAACAGCAGAGGCUAACAGCGGGAGUUUGCCUAGGGAGAGCGCACUGAGGCUUUCAUCUGCAGGUUUCUCCGAGUAGUUCCUGCAACAGUUGAGGAAGUUCUUAAGAGGACGGAGAUAUGGAAGGUGAGCGAUCAGCUGUUGUAACCUGCACAGGUUGUGCCAUGUUUGUCUUUCUUCCGCAGGACAGAAGCGACUUUGUCUGCACAAAGUGCAAGCUGGUCUCCAUAUUGGAGGAGAAGGUUCGAGGGCUGGAGAAACAAGUAUCAACUCUGCGUUGCAUAAGGGAAAAUGAAGAUUUCCUGGACAGACGUCAGGAGAUGCUUCUACGGCCACAAUGUUCUGAAGAUUCAGAGCAGGUGCAGCAGGGACAGAAGGAUUGUGAGGAGGUUUGGCAGCAUGUGACCUCCAGAAGAAGAAAGAGGAGCGUCCAUGCACCAGCAAUGGAGAUACAGAUGCACAGAGAUGGUGGAGUGCUAUGCUGAAGGAAGGAGGGCACAAGAGACAUAACAGAAAGGCAGGAGAAAAGGUGAGAGGGAAUAACAGAAAGCAGCAGGAGCUGCAGGGAGAGAGGAGGAGGAGGAGCCUCUUAUGACCUCUCUAGCAUCCCCAGGAGCCUGGACUGAUUAACACCAGCUUCUCAGGGAGCUUCCUGUUUCCUGCUGCUUCCCUGAACCCACUUGAGGAGAACAGGCAGUCAACUGAAGUAGUAGGAACCAGUUAGGCUUUUAAGACGCUGAUAUCUUCCCUCACUCAGGCCCUGCUACCAGCCUGCUUAUUUGUCCCCUUCAAUUGAGUGUUGAGAGCCAAUAUAGCUGGCACAGAACAGCAGUCAUGAGUGAAAGAAGAAAACGCCCCCCUGGUGCAGCAUUCAGAAAAAGAAAGAAAGCAAAGGAAGCUUUUCUAUCUAAGCAGGAAGGAGCUCUCCUGAGAUACAUAGAUACAAAUGUUCACGGUGAGCGUUCCGGCCCCAGUGAGGAUGUGAGUGGUGAGGAGAUGCCUGAUCUUCCAAUUAGUCAGAGUGCAGGUGACCUGGCAGCUACUGCAGCAUCCAUAUCUCCAUCUCAAAUGGAUGUAACCAUGCACAUUCUGAAGAAAAGCGUAGAUCAGAGAAGAGUGUGGUGGAGGCGCAAGAAACAGCUGCUGCUGAGUUUAGUUCCUUAAGACUAGAUGAUCCAGGACAGUGGACCCACUUGAGCAGUAGCCUGAGGGACUUCCUUGUACUGCAUGGGCCACAGCAAGUGAAAAACUUCAUGUUCCCCAAAGACAAUGAAAAUAGAAGUUUCCAUCCAACAUAUUACUGGCGUGAAAUCCCCAAUGGUGACAAAGAGAAGAGGCCAUGGCUUAUGUACUCAAAAACCCAGAAUGCUGCAUACUGUUUUUGUUGCAAACUCUUCCAGUCUAAUGUUCCAGCCACAUUGGGUUCUACAGGAACAAAGGACUGGAAAAAUCUGGCUAGAAAUCUGGCAUGUCAUGAGAAGGCAGCAAAUCACCAGAGAGGUGGAAAGAGCUUGAGAUGAGACUAAGGUUAAAGGCCACCAUAGAUGAUCAACAUCAAGAGAAGAUUGCAUCAGAGUCUCUUUACUGGUAAAAUGUUCUGAAAAGGCUCAUUGCCAUUGUGAGAAUGCUUGCUACCCAAAACCUAGCACUUCGUGGCACUUCAGAUCAGCUGUAUGUGCCAAACAAUGGAAACUUCCUUAAAAUUGUGGAGCUGAUGGCUGAGUUUGAUGCUGUACUCCAGGAGCAUCUAAGAAGAGUCACCACCCAAGAAAUGUACACACACCACUACCUUUGAAAAACAAUUCAAAAUGAGAUCAUACAGUUACUAGCAACAAAAGUCAAACAGAAGAUUGUGGCAGAUCUGAAGUCAGCAAGAUAUUACUCUGUUAUUCUGGACUGCACACCAGACAUCAGCCAUACGGAACAAAUGACUUUAAUGGUGCGUUUUGUAACAACAACAGAAUCUAGUGAAAAUGUCCCUGCAAUAGUGACUAUCAGAGAGCAUUUUCUAGAAUUUAUUGACAUUGAUGAUACUACAGGAGCUGCUAUGACAAAUGUGCUUCUUAAAAAGCUGGUGGUAGAAUGUGCAUUUGGCCGUUUAAAAGGUCGCUGGCGAUUGUUACUGACUCGCUCAGACCUCAGCCAAACCAAUAUCCCCAUUGUUAUUGCUGCUUGCUGUGUGCUCCACAAUCUCUGUGAAAGUAAGGGGGAGAUCUUUAUGGUGGGGUGGGAGGCUGAGGCAAAUCGCCUGGCUGCUAAUAAUGCGCAGCCAGACACCAGGGCGAUUAGAAGAGCACACCAGGAAGCGCUGUGCAUCAGAGAAGCUUUGAAAACCAGACUGGCCAGGCUACAGUGUGAAAUUUCUGUUUGUUUCUCCUUCAUGAAAACCCGCCCCCUUUAUUGACUCAUUCUCUGUAAGGAACCCACCCUCCCCCUUCUCCCAGCUUGCUUUCAAAGGAAA
Molecule: RNA transcript, 4616 nt
Organism: Malaclemys terrapin pileata
Lineage: Eukaryota; Metazoa; Chordata; Testudines; Emydidae
Exons: 3
Source: RefSeq, a predicted model, not a curated record